CCCGAACUUCGUGCUCAGGGCACUGCCUAUGGGGCCUGGGGAAGGGGAAAGGGUUCUGUGAGGACUCAGGCGUCCUUCCCUAGUAGCCUCCACACCCCUUCUCCUUCCCCUUUCGGUUCCUGUAUCCCCUUUCUCUUUCGAGGGUGAGGGUCACAGGACACCGGAUCAGGCGCAGCACUCACUACCAAACUGCUGCACCGCGAUUCCAAUGGAGGCGAUCCAGGAGACGCGCGCUGCCUGCUCCUCAAACGCCGCCACAAACUCCACGAAGAAGACUCCGAAGGAGCGAAGCACCCCGAACACCAGUGCCGACUGGAAGAAGGCUGAGAGCACCACCAUCCAUCCCCAGCCCCCAUCGGGGGGCUCGGCCCCGCGAGCCAUCUGGGAAACCUUGGGUCACAGAGACCAAAAAUAACUGAAGAGAGGAAGGGCGGCUGUAAAGUCACAUAGGGCUCCACCAACACCACCUACCCCUUCCUCAGUGGGGCUGGAACCUUUUCUUCUGCCUUCUAGUAACAGCCAUGUCCUAAUCAUAUUUUUUGAACUCAAGGUGGGAUAAAGAGAAGUUAUGACCCCGGCAACUGGAGCAAUCAGCUUUUCUUACCCCACCAGUACUCAGGCCCCCUGUGAGCACCCCCUAGUCCUCCCCAGACUCCACAGCAUUAACGUCUUGGACUUCAGUUCCUUCAUUGUAACUCAAGCUCUGGAGGACCCCCGACCUGGGUUCCCUGGGCUCAAAGAGUUCAUACCCAGCAGGAUAUGGUGGCACAGGCCUGUAAUCUCAGCCAUUCUGGAGGCUGAAGCAGGAGGAUUAGGAGAUCCAAGCCAGCCUCAGCAAUUUAGCCCUAAGCAGCACACCUGAAUUAAACCCCCAGUACAAACAAACAAACAAAUAACAACAACAACAACAAAAACCCACCUAGACUAGUGGGGAAAAGAAGCAAACAGGCAAAGAAGAAGAGGGGAAUGAGGUGGGGAGACUGUGUAGCUUUUGAUUUCACAUAUGGAAAAUAAUCAUACCAGAAUUCUUA
Non-coding RNA from Marmota flaviventris (yellow-bellied marmot), 1031 nucleotides. The record is from RefSeq and is a predicted model, not a curated record. NCBI's taxonomy places the organism in Eukaryota, Metazoa, Chordata, Mammalia, Rodentia, Sciuridae.